GAUGAAGAACGCAGCGAAAUGCGAUAAGUAAUGUGAAUUGCAGAAUUCAGUGAAUCAUCGAAUCUUUGAACGCACAUUGCGCCCGCCAGCACUCUGGCGGGCAUGCCUGUUCGAGCGUCAUUUGUACCUUCAAGCUCUGCUUGGUGUUGGGUGUUUGUCUCGCCUCUGCGUGUAGACUCGCCUCAAAACAAUUGGCAGCCGGCGUAUUGAUUUCGGAGCGCAGUACAUCUCGCGCUUUGCACUCAUAACGACGACGUCCAAAAGUACAUUUUUACACUCUUGACCUCGGAUCAGGUAGGGAUACCCGCUGAACUUAAGCAUAUCAAUAAGCGGAGGA
This 337-nucleotide unclassified non-coding RNA is filed under the name soil metagenome. Its description in RNAcentral is "partial contains 5.8S ribosomal RNA, internal transcribed spacer 2, and large subunit ribosomal RNA". The stretch from base 1 to 120 matches the Rfam family "5.8S ribosomal RNA", at positions 35 to 154 of the family's 154-position model. The record is from RNAcentral.